Molecule: ribosomal RNA, 480 nt
Filed under: uncultured bacterium
Lineage: Bacteria
Description: bacterial SSU rRNA
Rfam family: Bacterial small subunit ribosomal RNA
Source: RNAcentral
UUGAACGCUGGCGGAAUGCUUUACACAUGCAAGUCGAGCGGCAGCGCGGGGCAACCUGGCGGCGAGCGGCGAACGGGUGAGUAAUGCAUCGGAACGUACCCAGUCGUGGGGGAUAACGAAUCGAAAGAUUCGCUAAUACCGCAUACGUCCUGAGGGAGAAAGCGGGGGAUCGCAAGACCUCGCGCGAUUGGAGCGGCCGAUGUCGGAUUAGCUAGUUGGUAGGGUAAAGGCCUACCAAGGCGACGAUCCGUAGCUGGUCUGAGAGGAUGAUCAGCCACACUGGGACUGAGACACGGCCCAGACUCCUACGGGAGGCAGCAGUGGGGAAUUUUGGACAAUGGGGGAAACCCUGAUCCAGCCAUUCCGCGUGAGUGAAGAAGGCCUUCGGGUUGUAAAGCUCUUUCAGCAGGAACGAAACGGUCGGCUUUAAUAAAGUCGGCUAAUGACGGUACCUGCAGAAGAAGCACCGGCUAACUACGU